GAGCCCAUGGCCCAAUGGGUUAGAGCGUUGGACUGCUAAUCAACAGGCCGCGGGUUCGAGCCUCGCUUGGUGCA
This 74-nucleotide transfer RNA is filed under the name Schistocephalus solidus. It matches the Rfam family "tRNA". Rfam says of the family: Transfer RNA (tRNA) molecules are approximately 80 nucleotides in length. Their secondary structure includes four short double-helical elements and three loops (D, anti-codon, and T loops). Further hydrogen bonds mediate the characteristic L-shaped molecular structure. tRNAs have two regions of fundamental functional importance: the anti-codon, which is responsible for specific mRNA codon recognition, and the 3' end, to which the tRNAs corresponding amino acid is attached (by aminoacyl-tRNA synthetases). tRNAs cope with the degeneracy of the genetic code in two manners: having more than one tRNA (with a specific anti-codon) for a particular amino acid; and 'wobble' base-pairing, i.e. permitting non-standard base-pairing at the 3rd anti-codon position. Lineage: Eukaryota; Metazoa; Platyhelminthes; Cestoda; Diphyllobothriidea; Diphyllobothriidae. The record is from Rfam by way of RNAcentral.